RNAcentral lists this non-coding RNA (29 nucleotides) under Rattus norvegicus (Norway rat). Lineage: Eukaryota; Metazoa; Chordata; Mammalia; Rodentia; Muridae. The record is from RNAcentral.
UCGCGCUGAACUGUUUCUGAUCCAUGAGG